GGUCAUUUGAAGCUCAGCCAGAAGAGUUGAUUUAACUAUUUUUGCUUAAAGAAUGUCUGCACUGCUUUUAUACAAAGAUACUAAGGGACUCCAAAAUCUGCUAGAUUCAUUGUGUGAUCUUUUUCUCUGUAAAUUUCUUCUCUCUUUUACAGUCCUCAUUUUUCAUUGAGGCUAGGAUUAAUGUAAUAUAGUACAGAGGGCAACGUAGUACAGAUUAGGGAAGAAAGAAACGUUCACUGGAAGUUUUUGACAGGUCUCCAAACAAGGAAAGCCCAGGUUUGCUUCUUGUAGGGAGUCUGUAUUCUCGGUCCUGAAUCUGGCCUCCAGAGGGUGAUGUUGACAAGGGACAGAUGGCUGUUUCCAAUGAUGAUCAAUACUUCCUGCUCAGCCCCUUUUUCCUGCGGCUGGCUUACUGAAGCACUGUCACUGGAGUUCUUUGAAGAUGGGACAAAUGGAGAGAAUCAAAGAUUGAAAAGCACUCAAGAUUAUCUCGGCAGUUCUUGUAUUUUUACCAGAACAAGAGACUUGCUUAGCUCAACCUUCCUCACACUCGCUAUUCUCAAGACCUGGGUUCCAGCCACUUUCUUACCGGCUCCGAGGAGAAUUUCCGAAGAGACACCUGCAGUAUUUCCACAGCUCAGCUAUGCUACUGUUGCUCAUACCAGUGCUGGGGAUGAUUUUUGCCCUGAGAGAUGCCAGAGCCCAGUCUGUAAGCCAGCAUAACCACCAUGUGAUUCUCUCUAAAGGGGCCUCACUGGAGUUAGGAUGCAACUAUUCCUACGGUGGCACUGUUAAUCUCUUCUGGUAUGCCUAGCACCCUGGUCAAGACCUUCCGUUUCUCCUCAAGUACCUUUCAGGGGACCCAUUGGUUAAAGACAUCAAAGGCUUUGAGGCUGAAUUUAUGAAGAGUAAAUCCUUCUUUAACCUGAGGAAACCCUCUGGGCAGUGGAGUGACAUGGCUGAGUACUUCUGUGCCGUGAAUGCCACAGUGAAUGGGACCGCAAAGGGAGCUGAACACAAACUUCGUAAGGUGCUAGGGAGAAUAACUGCCUCUGAAAGAUUUUGGAUUCUGACACAAUAGAAACCGUGAUGUUAGUUUUUUUUAAAAUGUAUUUUUAACUUUUAUGGAUACAUAGUAGGUGAAUAUGUUUAUGGAGUACAUGAGAUAUUUUGAUACAGGCAUUCAAUGUAUAACAAUGAUGUCACGUAAAAUGGGGUAUCCAUCCCCUGAAACAUUUAUCCUUUGUGUUACAAACAACCCAAUCAUACUCUUUUAGUUAUUUAAAAAUGUACAAUUAAUUAUUAUUGAUUGUAGUUACCCUGUUGUACUAUCAAAUACUAGGUCUUAUUCAUUCUUUCUAUUUUUUUGUACCCAUUAAACAUCCCUCCUCUCCCCCACCCUCCCACUAUCCUUCCCAGCCUCUAGAAACCAUCCAUAUGUUCUACUCUCUAUCUCCAUGAGUUCGAUUGUUUUGAUUUUUAAAUCCCACAGGUAAGUGAGAACAUGCAAUGUUUGUCUUUCUUGCCUGGCUUAUUUCACUUAGUGUAAUGACCUCCAGUUCCAUCCAUGUUAUUGCUGUGAACCCAAAAGUAUGUGAGACAGGUCUCAAUCAAUUUAGAAGGACGCAUCUGUGACACAGGUUAAGGACGCAUCUGUGACACAGCCUCAGGAGGUCCUGACAACAUGUGCCCAAGGUGGUUGUAGUACAGCUUACUUAUAUACAGUUUAGGGAAACAUAAUAAAUCCAUCAACACAUGUAAGAUUUACAGUGGUUUGAUCUGGAAUGGCAGUACAGCUUGAAGGGAAGUUUCCAGAUCACAGGUAGAUUAAAAAAUUUUCUGAUUGGCAAUUGUUUAUUAUCAAUAGAAAGCAAUGUCUGGGCUAUAAUUAGGGGUUGUGGCGACCAAAGUUUUGUCAUACAGAUGAAGCCUCCACGUAGCAGGCUUCAGAGAGAAUAGAUUGUAAAUGUUCUUAUCAGACUGAAAGUAUGUGUUGAUGUUAAUGCCAGAAAGCUUUUCUUCAGUUCCAAAAGGGAAAUUCAAAAGGGAGGGGAAUAUAAUGAGGUAUGUCCAAUCACUCUUUCCCAUCGUGGCCCAAACUAUUUUUUCAGGUUAGCUUCGGAAUGCCUUGGCUGAGAGAAGGGCAGAGGUUGGAGGUCUGAGAAUUUUGUUUUGGUUUAUAUUACAAAUGACAGGAUCUCAUUGUUUUUUGAAGUCAUGAUGUUCUUAUUCCAAGGUAUGGAGAUGCUUAGGGACUUGCUGGGUGAGUGUGAAGCUGCUAUAUUUUAAAUGGUUGAAUAUGGAAAUUGUGACAUGACACAGAGUUUUGCUUUUCGUUCACCAUUUUAUCUUUCAAUAUCCAGAACAACAGAUGAACUUCCUUUUGUAAGCAUAUCUUCUUCUUGCAUACUUACUGCUCUCUCAACUUGGUAACUUUAAAGUAGUUUCCCUGGAGUCAGCACUCUGUGCUGAUUAUUUUCUCUCCUUUUUAAGUGCUUCAUUUAGGAAGGAGGAGAUUUAUUAGGAUGCUGAAUGGCUUAGAACAAUGGCGUGCUCAUAUAGAGUCUAGUAACCUUGUCAGGAAACCUGAAGAAAGGAGAGUGAAUAACUCAAAUUCUUUAGUAGUUUUUACAGAACUAUUUUUUUUUUUUUUGAGACAGAGUUUUGCUGUUGUUGCCCAGGCUGGAGUGCUGCAAUCUUGGCUUACCGCAACCUCCGCCUCCCAGGUUCAAGCAAUUCUCCUGCCUCAGCCUCCCAAGUAGCUGGGAUUACAGGCAUGUGCAACCACGCCUGGCUAAUUUUUUGUAUUAUUAGUAAAGAAGGGGUUUCUCUAUGUUGGUCAGGCUGGUCUCGAACUCCUGACCUCAGGUGAUCCACCCACCUCGGCCUCCCAAAGUGCCGGAAUUACAGGCGUGAGCCACCGUGCCUGGCCCUAAAGAGCUAUUAAGGAGGAACAAAAUGCUAGGUCUGCUUGGCAAGACCCAUUUUUUUUUGUUUUUCCCACUUAUAAAGACCAAUUCUUAUUCUUUUCAUAUCUUAAAUUCUGCAAAUCAACUUUAUAAAUCUUCAAAAUUGGUGAAAUAGUAACUUUUGCCAAUUCUUCCAAAUGAUGUUAUUUUAGUUUUUACUCUUAUUCCAGUUUCAUAUGAUUUUACAGUUGGUAUAUUAGAAAUGAAUUCUUAUCUGUUUAACAUUGUGAUAAUUAAGUACGUGCAAAAUUUAGCAAUGUUUGGCCCCUGAAGACAUUCUAAUUAAGUAUAGUAAUGGGAAUAAAAAGGUCGAAGGGCAUGCGAUAGAUGUAUGGCUUCCCCUGGCUAGGAAGAAAAAAAUAUACAAACACUUUUUAGCCUUCUUACUUGAAGCCUUCAAGGUUAAUAAUGACUUGAAGAAAGGUAAAGAGAAAGAGGAGGAGGAGGGUUGGGCUUUUUUAUUGUCUACCUCCUGAUGCUGUCAUGAGUAAGAGUAAUAGGGAUCUGAAGAUAUAGAUAAUAAUAGUGGAUUUGUUUCCAAUGAUUUACCUAAGACAAAGGGGACACCAGUAGCGAUCAGCAUUAUUUUUCAGGUCAGAGUGAUAUGGCUAUUUGUGGCAUAUACAUUUGGAAGAUUUCCGGAAAUGAAGUAAGAUAUAUAAAAUUAUUGAUAAGAAUUUAAAGGCUUGUUCAGAUUAUAUUCUCUACUGUCCCUGAGAGACUGAUGAUCUUUAUAAAACUUAAAAACACAGCUCAGUCCUGUGUUCCAGAAUGACUGCAAGUGGGUACUUUAUACACUGCAUAUGAGAAGGAGAAAUCGCAAUUUCUUUCAAUUCCAAACUGAAGUUCAGUACUGAGGAAAUAUAACUGCUGGCACCAAGAACCUCAAGCACCUGGAAAUGCAUUUUCUGCUCUCACACCAACAACCCUGUUUGAGACGUCAGAGUAUUUUUUUUUAUAUGAUUGUUUUAUAAAUGUAAAGAACGUUAUAUAAUAUAUAUAUUAAGGAGAAGGUAGAAAUAUUUAAUUUCUAACACAAUUAUAUUUGCCAUAUGAGCAGACUGUGCCAUUUUAAAACAAUAUUAUAUUAUUUCUAUCUCUUGAUAUCAAUAAAUACAGUUACACAUAAAUACAAAGUUUCAAAUUUUAAAAAAUAAAUAAAACAUUACAAAUAAAAUUGCCAUCUCUUUUGUUUUCCUCCUCAGUUUUAAUGCCUUCAUCCCUCUCUCAAAAUAAACCUAUUAUGAACUUUUUUCUCUACUCCAUGUUUUUAUAUUUCUAAACAUAGAUAUUUUUAAACAACGUGUGGUGCUGUGUUUUGUGUAUUUAAAAUUUACAUGAAUGCAAUCCAAUUGUAUGUGUAAUUAUGAAACUUGAUUUCUUUCCUAAAAUAUUUUUGAGAUAUAGAAAAAUUUAUAUAUGUAGAUAUAUUUCAUUGCUCUUAUUUGAUAUAUAGUAUUCCAUUUUAUGAAUAUAUUAUAUGUGCCUUUUGAUGCACAUUGGCUUGUGCAAGGCCAUCAGCAGUGAUAGUCUUAGACUCAGUUACACAAUCAAGUUUACAGAGCUUAAUAGGCCACAUAGGUACUGGUUUCCCUCACAUCCUAAGUGUUCUCAAGAGGAGUCCUUUCAGGUGUCUAUACAGUUCACAGAUUAUUAUUUUUGCAAUGCCUCCCUCCCCUCCUCCCACAUCAAGUGCUAAAGUGUGAGGAAAUAAGACCCAACAGGCCAUCCAGACUUAGAAACCCCAUAUCCCAAAUAGAAACCAGUAUCUCCUGUAACAGUUAUAAAAGUCACUGCUCCAAAACUAUGACAUCUUAAAAAGUAUUCACAGUCCAUUUACAGUCCAGAUGCAGUUUAUCAAUCAGGAUCAUUUUUACCAUAACAAUCUUACUUGGUAAUACAGCUGACAUUCUACCUUUAUUGGAUUUCCAGAGAAAUGGAGAUUAGAAAGUUAAUCUAAUUUUUUC
Long non-coding RNA from Macaca mulatta (Rhesus monkey), 4936 nucleotides. The record is from Ensembl. Lineage: Eukaryota; Metazoa; Chordata; Mammalia; Primates; Cercopithecidae.